UCGUAAAUGUGUUAUUUAUUUUAUUAUUUUAUUUUGAUUUAAUUAAUUGGCAUAUUUGUGUGUUUUAUGUGUUAAUUAGGAUGUCAAUUUAUUGAGCUAGUCAUGUAUGAGCCCAUUUUAGUGCAAGGGUAAAAUGGUAAUGUGGCAAGGUGGGGAAAACUUAAUCUAUGAUUAUGUAAGGUUAAGUUAGAGAGAGAGAGGUCAAAAAUAAAAUAAAAUUGAGAAUUGAGAAGAGGUAGAGAUAGAAAAGAAGCGUAGAGAAAGAAGAGAAAAGAGAAAGAAAAGGGUUUGGGAGAAAGUUAGAGAGGAAGAAUAAGAAGAUGAACAAAGAGAAAGAAGAGGAACUCAAGGAUUGAUCAAGUCAACUUACCAACAUUUCUCCAUUUUAUUAGAGUUUCUCAGGUGUUGCGUUUUGGUGUUCGUGUUCCGGUGUAGCCUCGCUCUGAUUUGGACACAUAGGGAGGGUGUAUAGUAUUUCAAUUUUAUUUAUAUUGUCUAGGUUAAGACAUAGAAAUGUAUAAGUCACUAGUAAAAGAUUUUCAUCUAAUGCACGUGUAUACUAAUUAAAUUUAUAGCAAUGUAAUUUGGGAAUAGUAAUACCCUAAUUCAUAAUAUUCCUCUA
This is a long non-coding RNA of Trifolium pratense (red clover), 622 nucleotides long. RefSeq lists it as uncharacterized. The record is from RefSeq and is a predicted model, not a curated record. Lineage: Eukaryota; Viridiplantae; Streptophyta; Magnoliopsida; Fabales; Fabaceae. The transcript has 2 exons.